UUUUUUUUUUUUUUUCCACUGUACAGCAAGGGGGUCAGGUUAUCCUUACAUGUAUACAUUACAAUUACAGUUUUUCCCCCACCCUUUCUUCUGUUGCAACAUGAGUAUCUAGACAUAGUUCUCAAUGCUAUUCAGCAGGAUCUCCUUGUAAAUCUAUUCUAAGUUGUGUCUGAUAAGCCCAAGCUCCCGAUCCCUCCCCCUCCCUCCCCCUCCCAUCAGGCAACCACAAGUCUCUUCUCCAAGUCCAUGAUUUUCUUUUCUGAGGAGAUGUUCAUUUGUGCUGGAUAUUAGAUUCCAGUUAUAAGUGAUAUCAUAUGGUAUUUGCCUUUGUCUUUCUGGCUCAUUUCACUCAGGAUGAGAUUCUCUAGUUCCAUCCAUGUUGCUGCAAAUGGCAUUAUGUCAUCCUUUUUUAUGGCUGAGUAGUAUUCCAUUGCGUAUAUAUACCACAUCUUCCAAAUCCAAUCAUCUGUCGAUGGACAUUUGGGUUGUUUCCAUGUCCUGGCUAUUGUGAAUAGUGCUGCAAUGAACAUGCGGGUGCACGUGCCUCUUUUAAGUAGAGUUGUGUCCGGAUAGAUGCCCAAGAGUGGGAUUGUGGGGUCAUAUGGAAGUUCUAUGUAUAGAUUUCUAAGGUAUCUCCAAACUGUUCUCCAUAGUGGCUGUACCAGUUUACAUUCCCACCAACAGUGCAGGAGGGUUCCCUUUUCUCCACAGCCCCUCCAGCACUUGUUAUUUGUGGAUUUAUUAAUGAUGGCCAUUCUGACUGGUGUGAGGUGGUAUCUCAUGGUAGUUUUGAUUUGCAUUUCUCUUAUAAUCAGCGAUGUCGAGCAUUUUUUCAUGUGUUUGUUGGCCGUCUGAGAAAACAGGCUUUGAACUGUAUGCACAUCAAUAUCCAGAGCAAAGGAAGCCCUUGCCCAAGCUAAUGUACUCAAACACACACACACACACACACACACACACACCAGAGAACCAGGAUCAAUUGCUAAGGCCAUAAUAGUCUUGAUCUGUUCUUCGUGAAAUGCAAACCUGCACCAUAGCUCAUGGCAACACCAGAUCCUUAACCCUCUGAGCAAGGCCAGGGAUCGAAGCCAAAACCUCAUGGUUCCUAGUUGGAUUCGUUUCCACUGUGCCGUGAUGGGACAGUGAUCAAGAGUCAGUCUUGAUGGGGAAGGAAGAGUCCAUUGCCAGGGUGGGCAGAUCAGUUAUGGAGUCCAGAAUUAGAACUGCAACUGUAAACCCAUUCACUGUCCAGAAUCUCCGGUGUGAGCCAUGGACUCCUGCAUGCCUCUUAGGGUGAAGAUGUCCUCUGAUCCCUGAGAUGUUGCCUCUUCUUGCAUCUAAACCAUUUAAGCUAUUGUUUAAACACAGAUCCUGGGAUCUCACCCCAAAUUCACUGCAUAAGGAUGGAUCUGGAAAUCUGUAUUUUAACACCAAGAGAAUAGCCUAUGAGAAGGAAUAUAAUGCAAUGAUUAAGAACACGAGCUUUGGUGAUGACCUUCCCCUUCACUUACUAUUAACGUGAUCAUGGGGGAAAUUUACUUAACUUUACUUGGCACCAUCUAUCAAAUGGUAACAAUAACCUUAAUACCUACCUCAUAGAAAGGAUUAAAUGAGUAAAUCCAUUUAAAGUUCCUGGAACAGUGGUAGACACACAAUCAGGUUUCAUACAUGCUAAUUAUUACUAUUAUCCUGUAACAAGCACCCUUGAUGAUUUUUUAUAAUCAAGUUUGUGAUUCAAACUUGAUCAAGUUUGAAUCCAGUAUGAUCAAGUAAAUUCUUAAUCUGCUUUUUGCUCAGACCUAUGUCCUUGCUCAGACCUAAGUCCUCCUAGCUUUAGAGCUCUGUGUUGUCUUCCCCAAGUCAUGUAAGUCUUUCCAAUCUUUCUCCGGGGUACCAGGAACAGGUGUCUUACCUUGUUACCAUUUGUCCUUCAGUCAGAAUGGGCUGAUCGCUGAGAAUAGGGAUGAUGCUGUUGGCUUGAGGAACUCCCACUCUUCAAAUGGGGAAAAAGCAGUUUUCUGUAAUUGGGGCCCAGCUAUAGAAUCAGAAGUUCCUAAUUGUUUAAUGUAAUUCAGUGUUGAUAAUCAUUCAAACUUAGCCAAAGCUGCAAGGCUACUUUGGACGGUCUCUUAGAAGAGAGUUCCUUCUCUUAGGCACCUGCCCUCAGGGUUACCAAUUAUGUCAGUUUUCCUGGGACUGCCCUGAUUUUUUUACUGAAAGGCCCCGGUCGUAGGAAAGCCCUCAAUCCUGGGUAAACCAGGAUGGUUGGUCCCACUGUGCCUUAUAGUUACUGGGUUGGUUCUCCAGUUGACUGGGCAGGGCAUAACUGGGGUCUGAGCUCAGCCUUACUAACUUUCAGAGGUAGGAAGCUCAGACCAAGAGAGCCCCCUGACCCUCUUGGUUUAGGACACUCUGGUCUGAAAAAUAUACUAACACUUCCUGUUUACUAGGCUGACAUGGAGCAGAAUUAUACUGAUUGCCUCAUAGUAGGGACCUGAGGAAUUCUGCAUUAUGAUGCUUCAUGUAUGCACUCAGAACUGGUAUCCUCCAGUCUGCCAUGUUUUCUGAUGUGCAUAAUACCAAGAGCUAUAAAUAUCCAUUCUUCCCUGGGUCUGGAGAUUUGUAUGCUGAUUACAUUUCAGGUGGAAAAUGCAGAAGCACUUGCUUUCCUAUUUUCCCAGAAGAAGAGGUGUUGGAGGGAGAAAAUAAAGGAUCUAGGUUUUAUAGAGCUGUAGAAAUUACACAUGUUGCCAAGGUAAUUAAUCAACAUUCAAAGAUAACAUAAAAUCUCUUCCUGUGCCUGGACAUAUAUGCCUCAAACCCCAGUAGGUGUGAGUAAUAACAUCAAAAUGAAGGAAAUUACCUUAAAGAAAUUGCCUGAAUGGGACUGUUAUAAGAAGAGGUUAGGGCUUACUUAAUUAAAACACAGUUUAAUUAUUACUAUAUAGUAAGGAAAUGGAGUGAGUACCAUGCAAUCAUAUGGGAGUAUGAGAGGUUUGGAUCUUGUUGCAUAACAAUUUCACAUAGUUGGGGGUGGGAGUGGAGAAGGCAUGAUUAAAUACAGGAGCAGGCUGAUGAAUGAAUCAUUGGAGAAGUGCAUUUUAAACUAAAUGGAAAUGAGUCUAGAAAGAAUGGAGAAAUCAUUAUAAUUAUCAUUGUAUGGCCCUGUUAGGGAGAAGAGAGCAGGUGGUCUCUGGGUCAGAAUAAUAGCCCAAAGGCUGAGCUCUGGACUCUGCCUCUUUAGUGGGACCCUUGAUGCUCCUGGGUACAGGUCUGGGUAGUGAUACACCCUUUACUACAACAGCGCUGCUUGUAAAGACCCAGAGCUUCCUCUGUCCUUGGGCUUAUACCCUACUCCAAGCCACCACUUAAGUCCUGAGGUCUCCAGGAAGCCACAGAGCCCUGAUGCAAAAUCCACGUCAGGCUCCCCAUUCCCCUGCUUGAACCCCUGGCAAAGAUGUUCUUUUCCUAGAGCUUCUAGUUUUCUCAAAGAGAACCUCUCAUUUCUUACCUAACUCAAAAUGAAACUGUACAAUAAAACAGCAUAAAAGUAUCAGCAGGGGGAGAGAUUUGUCUGGUUCAUUUAAGAGAAUUGUCCAAAAUGAAGGAGAAUGAGAAAAGGAGAAAUUUCGUUAUCAAUUACAGUAUAUAUAUAUGUGUGUGUCUCUGUGUGUGUAUAAUUUAAAUAGAAUUUUAUGUUUAAAUGUAAUUUAAAUGUUAUACAUAAUUUAAAUUAGUUUAAAAUAAUUUCAAACCUAUCAGAAAGUUCAAGAAUAAUUGAGAGAAUUUUCACCUACCCUUUACCCAAAUUCACCAGUUGUUAAAAUUUUUGCCUCUUUCCUUUCUCCACACAAGCACAUACACACACUACACACACAUUAUUAUUAUUUAGAGCAGGUUGACUGAGUAUCACUGGGUUUAAUCCUUCAAUGUGUAUUUCCUGAGAAAAAAGUUAUUUACAAAACCAGAGUACAAUUAUAAAACUUGGAAAUUUAAUAUUGACUUUAUGAAGUACAAAUUUCAAUUUUGUCAUUUGUCCCCCAAAUGAGCUUUAGACCAUUUUUUUCCCCUCCAGCGAGGGUCAAGUAUCAUGUUAAAUUGUCUUGUCUCUUUAUUCUCCUUUAAUCUGGAUUGUUUUUCAGCCCUUAUCUUUCAUAAUAUUGGCAUUUUUUUUUGAAGAAAACAGGCCAGUUAUUUUAUAGAAUGUGCCUCUGUAUGAGUUUGUCUGCUGUUUCUUCAUGAUGAGAUGUAUUGGUUGUACACUGGAGGCCAAAAUAGCACAGAGCUGAUACUGUGUCCUUCUCAGGGUAUCGGAUCUAGAGGCACAGGAGACCCAUCUGCCCCUCAUUACUGAUGGUAAUUGUGAUCACCCAGUCAAGAUGUUAUACACUUUCCUCACUGUAUAAUUACUAUUUUCCCCUUGCAACUAAUAAACAUUCUGUAGGGAGACACAUAUACCAGAUAAUAUGUUCCUCAUCACACUCCCCUCAGAUUUAGCAUCUACUGAUGACUCUUUCCUGAAAUAAUCUUUAUUGUGAUCAUUGCAAACUAGUGGUUUUCAACUCCAUCACUCCCUACACAUUUUAUUGUUGGAAAGGUGUGAAGUGGUUAUGAAUCACUAUUUUUUUAAAUGAAUGGGCUACAUGGAUGAGCUGUCCCUUCAUAUGUAUGUAUUAGGUGUGUAUGUAUGUGUCUACCUAUCUACUUGCCUACCUAUCUAUCCACUCUCUAGUUAUCUAUCAUCAGUAUAGACUCAUGAUUUCCAUUUUAAACAAUAGAUUAUAAUUCAGUAGAGUUCUUAUUUAUUCAGAUGCUCAAAUUAGCCCAGAUUUAGCCAAUGAGAACCCCUUCAAAGUCGCUUUGGUAUUUAGGAAAAAGUAUCUGGCAACUAGGUGUGCUGAUUGCUUUUAGGUCCUUUUAGCAGUUAAUACUAGGAAAUAUAAGUAUUUUUAUAUUUGAAAUCAUAAUUUUGUUAUGUCUAUUUUCUGAUUUUCCCUUGUUUCUUACAAAAAAGUUAGUGUAGUAUAUAAAAUCUUAUACUUUUUUUAUUUAAUAAGAUAUCCUGGAAAUUAUUCCAUGUGAGUUUAUAAAGAUUUUCUCUGUUCUUUCUUCCAGCUGCAUAGUAUUCCUCUAUGUACAUGUUCCAUGGUACUUAACCAACUUCUUAGGCUUGGAUAUUUAGAUAAUUGCCAAAAAUUUGCAAUUACAAACAAUAAAUAACAUUAUGUUUGUGUAUUUUUUUUUAUUGUUGUGGGUGUAUCUUCAGGAUAAGUUGAAAGAAGUGAGGUUGUUGGAUUGAUUGAUAGAAGACCCUGCAAGACUGAAGCAGUGCUUGGAGUCGGAGAGGAGAGAGUCAGACAAUGUGCACAUUUAUUUCUUUGGAUUAAAGAGGAAGUGGAGAGUUUCUAUUUGGGAUGAUGAUAAAGUUUUGGAAAUGGUAGCCAUGAAUGUUGCACAGUAUUGUUGAAGCUGGAAAUUACCUAUGGAAGCUGAGUCACCUACCUCGCUCCUGGAGCCCGCUGGCUGUUUCCAAGGCCUUCUUCAUUAUUCAAACCACGACUCCAUCACAGGAAUACCCAAAGCAACAUUUGAUAGUUGUGGAAGAUUUUUACCCUCACAAGUCAUGAAUACUUUCUGUUUAUCGCUUACACUGAGGAUUUAUGACUAUCUAAGUGUUGUAUUUCCGAAGGGAAGCAUCCUAUCCUCAGACUCCCGGCUGUCACCGUCCUGACCUGCCACCUGUGUCACAUCCCAUCAAGUGCUGUGGAUGAGCCAGGUACCAGUAAACCAGCCCCCGAGGCUGGAGAAAUGUUGGAUGUAGAUGCUCACAGAAUCAUUCAUCAAAUCUUGGAAGCUUCGGAGAGAAGUGCGUAAAAUGAAAAUUUAGUUCCAGAGAAAUAGAGCCUCAAUUUAAUACCAUCUACCAAAGCACUGCCACGUCUGUCAUCUUGGGAUGAGGUCAGAGAUCCUAAAUCAAGAGAGGAUGAAGGCUCUCCUGGCGGGGGUGGCCCCAGGGUCUGGAGCAUGCCCAGGUGAACACCUGAGAUAAAUAUGACAAAGUCACUUGCUCCAGAUCAUGUUUGAAAGUGAAGCAUAUAACUUCUACAUUCUUAUCAUGUCAAGCUGCCCGCCAGCCAUGCCAUGAAACUUCCUUCAAAGAGAACCAGUUGUCUCUCCUCUGAUGCGUUGGAAAGAGGGGUCACUCUGUUGGCCAAAUACCCCAAUUCCCUUCUGGAGCUCUCCAACUCUCUGUUAACUUGGACCUCUUCCAGUGGACCAAACAUUUGGUAUAAAUGGAACUCUCAAGAAGAGGAAAUAAAAGAAUUAAACACACUUUCCAGGCUGUGUUAUAGGUUUCUGUACAGAUAAAAACACUUCAAAUUCAAAAGCAACUUUGAUACUAAAAAACAGGACAAUUACCACAGAGAAAAGGGCAUUUGUGUAAUAGCUGAAAAUCUGGGAAGCAUUUAUCCGCAUCCAUGUUUUGGCCUCAGGAGGACCUAAAUUGCAAAGGAACUCAUCACACAGUGAUCUGAUAGAACAUCCAGCUCCCACAGAAAGAAAAAUUCUUGUGUUCUCUGGGUUUGUGUAGUAUCAGUACUAAUAAAGAAUGAAUGAAAGUUGACAUC
RNAcentral lists this long non-coding RNA (6626 nucleotides) under Sus scrofa (pig). RNAcentral's name for it is "lncRNA (ENSSSCG00030067635.1)". The record is from RNAcentral. Lineage: Eukaryota; Metazoa; Chordata; Mammalia; Artiodactyla; Suidae.